CGUCUAUAUACGUAUAGCAUAUCAAUAAGCGGAGGAAAAGAAACUAACAAGGAUUCCCUUAGUAACGGCGAGUGAAGCGGGAAGAGCUCAAAUUUGAAAUCUUCAAGGGUUCUACCUUGACGAAUUGUAGUUUAAAGAAGUGUUUUCUGUUAGUGGAGUGGCAAAAGUUCUUUGGAAUAGGACAUCAUAGAGGGUGAGAAUCCCGUAUUUGGUCAUUCCUUCUAGCUUUGUGAUACACUUUCAAAGAGUCGGAUUGUUUGGGAAUGCAGUCCAAAAUGGGUGGUAAAUUUCAUCUAAAGCUAAAUAUUGGCGAGAGACCGAUAGCGAACAAGUACCGUGAGGGAAAGAUGAAAAGAACUUUGAAAAGAGAGUUAAACAGUACGUGAAAUUGUCAAAAGGGAAGCGUUUGACACCAGUGUUGUUUUUCCGUAAAAUCAAUUGAGAAUGUUUUAUUUUUGAGGAGUUAUGACUUCAUCGGCUUGCUUCUCUCUUUAUGAAACUUUCUUAAUGCACUUUUCGGUUAACAAGUCAACAUCAAUUUCUUUUGUUGUAAAAGAGUAUGAGGAAGGUGGCUUUCUUUUCGGAGAAAGUGUUUAUAGCCUUGUACUUCUGCAAUCGGAGAGAUUGAGGUCUGCAGCGUAGAUCCUUCGGGGUUAGAUACAUUUGUGCUAAGUUAUAGCUUUUCAUAGACAACUUGUUGACUAUGUUUAGUCUUGUAGCUUACUCGCUGAUGCUAUUUUACCUACGCUUAGGAUGUUGACGAGACUGUCGAUCUC
Molecule: ribosomal RNA, 776 nt
Filed under: uncultured Neocallimastigales
Lineage: Eukaryota; Fungi; Neocallimastigomycota; Neocallimastigomycetes; Neocallimastigales
Description: partial large subunit ribosomal RNA
Rfam family: Eukaryotic large subunit ribosomal RNA
Source: RNAcentral